GGGCGGUUGGUGUAGUGGUUAACAUUUCUGCCUUCCAAGCAGGAGACAUGGGUUCGAUUCCCGUACCGCUCA
This is a transfer RNA of 72 nucleotides. It matches the Rfam family "tRNA". Rfam says of the family: Transfer RNA (tRNA) molecules are approximately 80 nucleotides in length. Their secondary structure includes four short double-helical elements and three loops (D, anti-codon, and T loops). The record is from Rfam.